Molecule: ribosomal RNA, 207 nt
Filed under: uncultured bacterium
Lineage: Bacteria
Description: partial 16S ribosomal RNA
Rfam family: Bacterial small subunit ribosomal RNA
Source: RNAcentral
CGCGUAGGCGGUCUGGUCAGUCGGAUGUGAAAGCCCCGGGCUUAACCUGGGAAUUGCACUCGAUACUGCCAGACUAGAAUGUUGGAGAGGGAAGUGGAAUUUCCGGUGUAGCGGUGAAAUGCGUAGAUAUCGGAAGGAACACCAGUGGCGAAGGCGGCUUCCUGGCCAAACAUUGACGCUGAGGUGCGAAAGCGUGGGUAGCGAACA